Molecule: non-coding RNA, 100 nt
Organism: Aeromicrobium sp. Leaf289
Lineage: Bacteria; Bacillati; Actinomycetota; Actinomycetes; Propionibacteriales; Nocardioidaceae
Source: Rfam
CCACGCCCGCAGGGUCCGACCUCCGGCUGUCCGGUCCUGGCAUCACUUCCCCGGUGCCAGAGCCGUACGGACGGGGAUCAGGCCACACGGUCUCCACCAC